AUUGAACGCUGGCGGCAUGCUUUACACAUGCAAGUCGAACGGUAACAGGCCGCAAGGUGCUGACGAGUGGCGCACGGGUGAGUAAUGCAUCGGAACGUGCCCAGUCGUGGGGGAUAACUACUCGAAAGAGUAGCUAAUACCGCAUACGAUCUAUGGCUGAAAGCGGGGGACCGUAAGGCCUCGCGCGAUUGGAGCGGCCGCUGUCAGAUUAGGUAGUUGGUGGGGUAAAGGCUCACCAAGCCAACGAUCUGUAGCUGGUCUGAGAGGACGACCAGCCACACUGGGAAUGAGACACGGCCCAGACUCCUACGGGAGGCAGCAGUGGGGAAUUUUGGACAAUGGGCGCAAGCCUGAUCCAGCAAUGCCGCGUGCAGGAAGAAGGCCUUCGGGUUGUAAAAUGCUUUUGUACGGAACGAAACGGCUCUGGUUAAUACCCGGGGAUAAUGACGGUACCGUAAGAAUAAGCACCGGCUAACUACGUG
This 482-nucleotide ribosomal RNA is filed under the name uncultured bacterium. RNAcentral's name for it is "partial 16S ribosomal RNA". It matches the Rfam family "Bacterial small subunit ribosomal RNA", at positions 30 to 507 of the family's 1533-position model. The record is from RNAcentral.